UGCAACUUGCUGUCCUUCCCUGAGCUAAACGCCUGUGGAACGCUACUGCCAGCCCCGCUGCAGUCGCUCCAGGGAACGGUGCCUGAGGGUUCCUGGCUGUUCAGGUCCAGUAACUCCUCUCCACUUCUGAAUAGUCUCUCCCUCCCCCUGCCGCUGAGUCCAUUUUCUAACUUUACCUUUGAUGUUCAGGGCUCCUAGCUUGUCAUAAAUAUAAUCGCUUCACUUGUUUUUUCUGGUCUUUUUUGUAAGAGGGAUCACUGGUGGCAUCUCAAUACUCAAAACUUCAUCAUUUCUUCCUUUCACUUUAGCUACUCGACAUUCAAGAGCAACGUUCAGAGUCUCUUCCGACAUCCGUUUUGGUCUUUUCUUUCUUUCCUGUCUUUUAAAGGAUCUCUUGCUUCAUGUGUGAUGUCCUUGAUGUCAUUCCACAACUCGUCUGGUCUUGAGUCGUUAGUGUUCAACACGUAAAAUGUAUUCUUGAGGUGGUCUCUAAAUACAGGUGAGAUAUACUCAAGGUCAUACUUUGGCCCCUUUUGACUUAUUCUAAUUUUCUUCAGUUUCAACUUGAACUCCCAUAUGAGCAAUUGACAGUCUGUUUCACAAUCGAUCCCUGGCCUUGUUCUGACUGAUGAUAUGAGUUUUCCCAUGUUCUCUUUCCACAGAUGUAGUCAGUUUGAUUCCUGUGUAUUCCAUCUGGUAAAGUCCACGUGUAUAGCUGCCGUUUAUGUUGGUGAAAAAAAAUAUUUGCAGUGGAUGAGUCACUGGUCUUGCAAAAUUCUUUCAUGAGAUUUCUGGCAUCAUUUAUUUCAGCAAUGCUGUAUUUUCCAACUACUUUUCCUUCUUUGUUUCCAACUUUAACAUUCUAAUGACCAGUAAUUAUCAAUGCAUCUUCAUUGCAUGGUGGAUCAAUUUCAGGCUGCAGAAGUUGUUUAAAAUCUUCAAUUUCUUUAUCUUUGGCAUUAGUGGUUGGUGCAUAAAUUUGAAUAGUCAUAUAAACUAGUCUUCCUUGUAAGUGUAUGGAUUUUAGCCUAUCAGUGACAACAUUGUACUUCAGGCUAGAUCUUGAAAUGUUCUCUUUGAUGAUAUGUAACGUCAUUCUUUUGACUCUGGUGGAAUAUCCAUGUUUGUAAGACUGCUCACAGCCUGUUUCACCAGAGAGUUUUCUGGUACUGCAACAUCUACCACUAAUCUCUGUGAUCUCUGUGAAUUGGCAAAAUAAGAAUAGUGCUAUAGAUUUCUUCCAAAUACAGAAAACAUAAUCAUGAAAAUGUUCUUGCUGUUGAUUAUAUUCUUUACCAAUCUGUUCGUAUGGGAUUUUUGGUACUUCACUUGAAAAAUGAGUCCAAGGUACCGUGAUGUGAUUGUUUACUUUGUGUGGCCUUUCUAGCCAUGGUCUUAUAACAUCCACCCUGGUGCUUGGGCAGGACUGUGUGAUAGGGUAAUUGUGGCUCACCAAGGGGAUUGUUUAUUUUUCCUUCAAAGAGAACCAGUUCCAGAGCAAAGAGGAGGAUUCAACUCCCAUCAAGGAAGAACAGCCAAGAGCCGAGCGUAUAUUAUGGACCUGAGAUCCCUGCACUGAGAAGCUCCUAGAAGCAGGAGACUGAGAUAGAGAGAGGAAGCUGUAACCCUGAAGAUGCUUAAAUACAGACCAGAAGAGGAGUUUGGGGCUUGACACCUGACAUCUUAACACCAGUUCCUGUUUCUUGAGGAAGGAAGAGGUAAAAUAAAUCAGCGUUUACUGUUUCCUUCUCCAUCCCCGGAAGUCCUGAUGAAGACCCUCUCAGCUUCAACUUGAACGUGAAUAUGAGCAACUGAUCAUCUGUUCUGCAGUCAGCCCCUGGCCUGAUUCUGACUCAUGAUAUUGACCUUCUCCAUCAUCACCUUCCACAAAUUUGUUUUCUGUCUAUUCUGCCUGGAGUGGUUCACGAGUAUAGUCACCGUUUAUGUUCCUGACGAAAGAGAACCAGUUCCAGAGCAAAGAGGAGGAUUCAACUCCCAUCAAGGAAGAACAGCCAGGAGCUGAGCAUAUAUUAUGGACCUGAGAUCCCUGCACUGAGAAGCUCCUAGAAGCAGGAGACUGAGAUAGAGAGAGGAAGCUGUAACCCUGAAGACGGUAAGAUGCCAUGGCAGGAGAGACCAAGCAACAGGGACCCGGGUAUAGGAGAUGCUGGCCCAUGGAGAAGGAAAGCUGAGUGCCUUUGGAGAGAGGCCCAAGGCCAGGCAGCGUCACACCUAUGAGCACAGGAGGGAAGAAGCUGUCCUGAUAGAAGAACUGUAUUCUGAAUGUCUUUGAGCCUGAGUUAUAAAUGUUACUUCCCUAAUAAACCCCAUAAUCAUGAAUAUGGACUAUGAGCUCUGUGUGGCCAUUGCAAUGAAUUACUGAACCCAGCAGAGAAGUAGGGAGUGCUGUGUGAGGGACAGUUGGUGUCAGAGUUAGUGAAGAUGGUGGAGAGAGGAUAGUUUUUCACCAAUGCCUUCAAUGCAGCUUCGAUUUCUUCCUUUUAUACCAUCAGUUCUUGAUCUUAUGCUACCUCUUGAAGUGGUUGAAAAUUAUCCAGUUCUACUGCAGUAGCUAUAUUAAUAUCAGACAAAUUAUACUUCAGAAAAAGGAGUAUUAUUGGGAAUAAGUAGGGACAUAACAUAAUAAAAGUUCAAUUCUCCAAAAAGAUACAACAAUCCUAAAUGUGUAUGUAUUUAACAACAGGGCUCCAAAAUACAAAAACUAAUAAAUCUGAAAGGGGAAAUGGACAAAUACACAUUUAUAAUCGAUAUCAGUACUUUUCUAUCAAUAAUUAAUAGAGCCCUGCUAGUUGAAGUCCAAAGCAUCUGUAUGAACCACUCAUGGAUGUCUAUGUGUGUGUGUAUGUGUAUAUGUAUGUAUAUAGUAUAAAGACAAGUAAUACAGAAAUAAACAUAGAUAUAUGUUGUAGUCCUUGGGAGGUACAAACGGUUGAUGCAUUCAGCUGCUAUCAAAAUGUUGGAGGUUUGAGUUCACCCAGAGGCACUUUGGAAGAAAGGCUUGGUGAUGUACUUUUGAAAAAUUAGCCAUUGAACUGACACAGUUGUGUGUCACUACUACUAUGACACACAUGGGGGAGGGGUCACCCUGAGUCAGAUCAGCUUGAUAGCAAUUGUAUGAUUUUUUUAUUCAUUCUUUCAAUGUUUGCCUUUUAAUUGGUAUCUUAGGCUGAGUUCUCUAGAGAAGCAAAACCAGUGAGGUAUAUAUAUAUAUGUAUUUAUAUAUAAAUAGAUUUAUAACAAGGAAAUGGCUCACGAGGCUGUAGAGGCUGGUAAGUCUCAAGUCCAUGGGUCAGGGUGGUGGCUUCUCCUGACUCACAUAGAUGCAGGGACUGCAGAACUCAAGAUCUGCAGGUCAUACAACAGGUCUGUGGCUCACAGGCUGCAAAGGGUGACAAAUCUCAAGAUCGGCAGAUAAGCUGGCAGCCCGCGACUCACAGACUGCGGAGGCUGAUGAAUCCCAAAAUUGGAAGGUAAGCUGAGAGUUCAAGUCCCAAAAACUUGAGAUCAGAUGAAGAGGAGCCAGCUGCAGGAUUCAGAGUGAGCAAAAGCUCAAGAGCCUUGCCAGAAAGUCCACCUAUAUUGGAUGCAGUCCACACCCCCGAGGAAACUCCCUUACAUUUGAUUGGCUACUCACAGCAGAUCCCAUCAUGGAGGUAAUCACAUUAUGUCACAUCUCAUCAUGGAAGUGAUUGCAUCGUUAUACGACUGCUAAACUACAUCAUAACUGCCAAAGCACUGAGAAUCAUGGUCCAACAAAGUUGACACACAACUUUAAUGAUCCCAAUUGUGAAUUUAAUCUAUUUAUAUUUAAAGCGAUUAAUGAUAAGGAAGGACUUAUAUCUUCUACUUUGUAGUAGGUCGUAUACGUAUUUUGUUUCUCAUUUUUUUCACUACUGUCCACUUUUGUGUUUGACUGAUUUUUUUCAAGUGUACAAUUUUGAUUCUCUCCUUAUUUCCUUUCCUUAUAUUUUUUAACUUCUUAGUGGUGACCAUGAGGAUUACAAUUAAUGUCUUAUAUUUAUAACAAUCUUCUUUUAAUUAAUACAAAUUUAGCUUCAACAGUAUACAACAUUCUGCUUUUAUUUAGCUCAGUUACCUCCCCUACUUACUUUGCUGUUACACAAAUUGCAUCUUUAUACAUUGUGUGUCCAUUAAGAGAGAAGUGUAAGUAUUUUUAUGCAUUCGUGCUUUAAAUCAUAUAUGAAAAAAAGAGAGGCAUGAUAUAAAAAUAUUACUGACUUUGUUUUAUCUAAGUAGUUACCUUUACGGAGUCUUUGUUUGUUUUUAUGGCUUCAAGUUACUGUCUAGUGUCCUUUCAUGGCAGCCAGAAUGAUUCCCUGUAGCAUUUCUCAUAAGGCAGUUCUGCUACUAACACACUCCCUCAGGUUUUGUGUAUCUGGGCAUGUCUUAAUUUCGCCUUCAUUUUUGAAAGAUAGUUUUGGUAGAUAUUGAAAUCUUGGUUCAUAGUUUUGUUUCUGUAUUUUUUUCCAGUACCUUAAAUACGUCAUCCCACUAUUUUCUUGUCUCAAUGGUUUCUGAUGAAAAAUCAACAGUUAAACUUGUUGAGACUCUCUUGUACAUUAGGGGUCACUUAUCUCUUGCUACUUUCAAGUUUCUGUCUUCGUCUUUUGACAUUUUGAUUAUGUCUGUCUGUGGAUGUCUAUGUGUUUACUGUCCUUUGAGUUUAUUGAGCUUCUUGGAUAUCUAGAUGACAUUUGGGAAACUUCCAGUCAUUACGUUUUUAAAUAUUCUUUCUGUCCUUUCAUCUUUCUUUC
Long non-coding RNA from Loxodonta africana (African savanna elephant), 4796 nucleotides. RefSeq lists it as uncharacterized. The transcript is spliced from 4 exons. NCBI's taxonomy places the organism in Eukaryota, Metazoa, Chordata, Mammalia, Proboscidea, Elephantidae. The record is from RefSeq and is a predicted model, not a curated record.